Molecule: long non-coding RNA, 318 nt
Organism: Gadus chalcogrammus (walleye pollock)
Lineage: Eukaryota; Metazoa; Chordata; Actinopteri; Gadiformes; Gadidae
Exons: 4
Source: RefSeq, a predicted model, not a curated record
GUCCUGGAGGGCCCGGAGGCGGCGGCUCCUCAUCCAAAGAAAUGAGGCGACGUUGCGGAGGUCCAGGCGGUUGGCCCGGUGGAGGUCCUGGAGGAGACGGUCCCGGCGGUGGAGGACGGCUGGGGGAUCCGGCGGUGGAGGUCCUAAGGCGGCUCGUGAUUAGACCAACCAGCUCCUCAUCCAUGGAAGUCCGUCGGCCCUGUCCGUGGCGGUUGUCUGGAGGCGCUCGCUGCAGAUCGAGGGAAGGCCGGGAGCCGUGCAGCCCAAGGGAUGCAGAACGAAGGACUGAGGCGGAGGUCCCGGAGGCGGAGGUCCCGG